GGGCCCGCAGGGAAGUGGGGCUGCUCUCGGUCAUGGGCGACGGAGAGGAGCCAUAUUUGUUGCAUUUGUUGCAUGUGGAAAACCCAGAUGUGCCUCAGACGAACUGCACGGGAAAAAAAAAAAAUUACAGGCUUCGCAGGCAGCUGCGGAGUUCCCUGUGUGGGGUUUCUGGCCGAGACAUUGUCGGGAAGGGAAUCGAAGCUGAAGGGUGUGAAGGGCGAGCCAGGAAUGCACAGACCUUUGUGUGUUUUAGGCGAUCCCUGCUCAUUCCGCGGAGCCCUUGUGUGGGGAAGGUGCAAAUGGUGGGGGGCAGACCCACCUCGCACCUCCGGGCCCGCCGACGCCGCCGGCUCGACCGUGUUCCUAGGGGCCUUUCGCCCCCCGAGUAAAAUUGCUUUGUUGUUUUGAACAGCUUUCAGAUGGUGGUACAGGUUCCAUCCGUUGCGCAUAUCUUGAUCUUACAGAAUCUGCCGUUUAAGUGCAGUUCUGGGUUUUCCGAUGGCCAUUUUUGAAAUUUUGAAACCCGAAAAGUGGUUUUAAACGGAUACUCGGAAUCUAGGUUUUUUUUAGAGUCCUUUUGAAUAGUAAAAUGAGAAAUAAUUGCUAGCAGUUUAACCUCAAGAUCUUUUCACAUGAUAAAUGGGGGAGGGGAAGACAGAAAAUAUGCAAGACCCUGGUUUGAGAUUGAGUAAAGGUCAUAGAUACCCUAAGUUCUAGACUUGCUUAAAAGACGAAGCUAAUAUCCCACUUGGCGAGAUCAGAUAACUAGUGCUUUAAAAUUUAAAGUAACCAGUGGCCAUUUUAACUUCACUAAUGUUUCUUUGAGGAGUUAAUUUUUAAUUGUUCAAAAUUGUAAAAGAUAUUUCUAGCUGGCGAAGGAAAUUUUCAGGUAACUUACAAGAUUAAAAUCGAUUUGAUUGCUGAUUGUUCUGAACAAGUACAUCUUUUAUUUGAGGGACGCCAUUUUGAAGACUGAUACCUUGACAUUUUAUCCUUGGGGAUAAAGGAAUCUUUGGGAAACCUCUGUGUUUCAAAUAGCAAAAUGUCAGCACUCCAGAGGCCUGCACGGUGUAACGGACGGUGGAAGCUUUUGCACCCAGUCAGCUUGAAGAGUCAAAUGGACCCUACUACUGAGAAAUCAAGAUGGCAACCCACUAUGGGGAAGUGUGGAAAUGGAUUAACACAAGAAUGCUAUACAACCAAGACAGGGCUCUUUUAACAUGGAUUCCAUGAAGUGAAUGAAGACAAUAGGUUUCUCACCCAACAUAAAUGGACAGUGGAUUUGACUUUCUAAAGACUUUUUGUAUCAUUAGAAGAAGUACAUUUUUGACAUUUGGUGAAGAAAGAUGGCACAUUAACAUAGGUGAUAGUAUCCUUGGAAUUUUUUGCAAUUUGAUUUGUAUGGAAUCAUGGAAUGUUAACUUUAAUAAAAUUUCUAACACUUCAAAAUUUCU
Lepus europaeus (European hare) is the source of this 1454-nucleotide long non-coding RNA. RefSeq lists it as uncharacterized. Lineage: Eukaryota; Metazoa; Chordata; Mammalia; Lagomorpha; Leporidae. The transcript has 5 exons. The record is from RefSeq and is a predicted model, not a curated record.